AACGUAGGACACGAGCGUUAUCCGGAGUUACUGGGCGUAAAGGGCGUUUAGGCGGGUGAUUAAGUUCGCUAUGAAAGCGCCGGGCUAAACCCGGCGAGGCUGGCGGAUACUGGUCAUCUGGAGUGAGCGAGAGGGAGGUAGAAUUCCGCGUGUAGUGGUGAAAUGCGUAGAGAUGCGGAGGAAUACCAGUGGCGAAGGCGGCCUCCUGGCGCUCAACUGACGCUGAAGCGCGAAAGCAUGGGGAGCGAACGGG
RNAcentral lists this ribosomal RNA (253 nucleotides) under uncultured bacterium. RNAcentral describes it as "partial 16S ribosomal RNA". It matches the Rfam family "Bacterial small subunit ribosomal RNA", at positions 524 to 776 of the family's 1533-position model. The record is from RNAcentral.